GGGUGAGUAACACGUGAGUAACCUGCCCUUGACUUUGGGAUAACUUCAGGAAACUGGGGCUAAUACCGGAUAGGAGCUCCUGCUGCAUGGUGGGAGUUGGAAAGUUUCGGCGGUUGGGGAUGGACUCGCGGCUUAUCAGCUUGUUGGUGGGGUAGUGGCUUACCAAGGCUUUGACGGGUAGCCGGCCUGAGAGGGUGACCGGCCACAUUGGGACUGAGAUACGGCCCAG
RNAcentral lists this ribosomal RNA (229 nucleotides) under uncultured Actinomycetales bacterium. RNAcentral describes it as "partial 16S ribosomal RNA". It matches the Rfam family "Bacterial small subunit ribosomal RNA", at positions 104 to 334 of the family's 1533-position model. The record is from RNAcentral. Lineage: Bacteria; Bacillati; Actinomycetota; Actinomycetes; Actinomycetales.